This 1131-nucleotide long non-coding RNA is filed under the name Anas platyrhynchos platyrhynchos (common mallard). Its description in RNAcentral is "lncRNA (ENSAPLG00000020342.1)". The record is from RNAcentral. Lineage: Eukaryota; Metazoa; Chordata; Aves; Anseriformes; Anatidae.
GGAAGAAACAUUUCUAAUAUGCAGUCCAUUCUUACAGGCAUAUUAACUUGAAAGUUAAUCAUAGUUCUGGCCCCAGAUGGUUACAGUGCAUCUGCUUCUCCAUCUGUGGGAGUCUUUAAGGAUACUUGAUAGCUGUCCAAAUAAGCGCUUAAAAAUUGUAUCAUAUAAAGGCAAAAUAACAAGAUAGCAUAAUCUAGAAUGAUACCAAAGGAAAGGGAGGUGGAGUAAGUGUUUGAAGCCCUCAGCUGCACCCUAUGGAUUUCACCUGAAAUACAGAUCUGUUGUGUGGCAUACAUAAAGCUUUUCUCUUUGUAGGUGUGCUCUGAAGAUGUACCUACCUACUUUCAUCAGGAAAUUGUUAUAGAAAUAUGUUUCCUGCUUUGCCAUGGACAAGAAGCUUACAAUUAUGAAACAGAUAAACACAUUGUCUCCAGUGGUCACAGGUGUGGUUCUGUUGUGCCUAACUGCUGCUCAUUGCCAAACCAUUCUGCAGGCUCCAUCAGCUGCCUCAGUGUCCUGUUGUAAGGGAACUGGGGGAGGUAAGUGCCAUGCUUCACAUAUAAGGUACAAAUCAUGUUAUUUGUGUGAUCUCCUGGUUUAUAUAUUCCAUAUAUUUCCUUAUUUUAGAUUUACUACUUACUCUUGCUAUAAGCCAAGGGUGUUAGUGCAUACUUCCUCUCUUCCUAAACCCGAACACCCAAAGGCGCAGUGAGUUUUUACCAAGCAUUUCUUAAAGAACGACUCAGUAUGAGAAACCCUCUCACAAAACCCACACAAAUCCCUGUAAUCAGCCCUGCCAAUUCACUGCAGACUGCAAACAGCUAUAGACAGGAUUCCAAACAGUUAAUUUCAAAUAGCUCAUUUUCUCUCAUCUCUGCACAAAUUCCUGUCAUGUUGCAUUACAUGUAAACAACUCAGAAACUUAAUGACAUGCCUUUCAGUCAAAAACUGGUAUGGUUUUUCAGUCUGAGCAGAUUAAUUGCAGUUUGUAACAAUAUAGACUGAUGCAGUCUGAUUAGGGUUUCUAUUGCUCUUUGAGAUAAAAUAUUUUAUGUGAAUGUAAAGCCAAGAUUUCUGCUGGCACGACUUUAUUGACUUCUGCGGGAAAAUAAAAUACCCAUGUAAAAUCCA